This 442-nucleotide ribosomal RNA is filed under the name uncultured bacterium. RNAcentral's name for it is "partial 16S ribosomal RNA". It matches the Rfam family "Bacterial small subunit ribosomal RNA", at positions 338 to 795 of the family's 1533-position model. The record is from RNAcentral.
CCUACGGGUGGCAGCAGUGGGGGAUAUUGCACAAUGGGGGAAACCCUGAUGCAGCGACGCCGCGUGGGCGAAGACGUAUUUCGGUAUGUAAAGCCCUAUCAGCAGGGAAGAAGAAAUGACGGUACCCGAGUAAGACGCACCGGCUAAAUACGUGCCAGCAGCCGCGGUAAUACGUAUGGUGCAAGCGUUAUCCGGAUUUACUGGGUGUAAAGGGAGCGCAGGCGGCACGGCAAGCCGGAUGUGAAAGCCCGCGGCCCAACCGCCGGACUGCAUUGGGAACUACCGGGCUGGAGUGCCGGAGAGGUAGGCGGAAUUCCUAGUGUAGCGGUGAAAUGCGUAGAUAUUAGGAAGAACACCAGUGGCGAAGGCGGCUUUCUGGACUGAAACUGACGCUGAGGCACGAAAGCGUGGGGAGCGAACAGGAUUAGAUACCCUAGUAGUC